Molecule: ribosomal RNA, 1447 nt
Filed under: Lactiplantibacillus plantarum
Lineage: Bacteria; Bacillati; Bacillota; Bacilli; Lactobacillales; Lactobacillaceae
Description: bacterial SSU rRNA
Rfam family: Bacterial small subunit ribosomal RNA
Source: RNAcentral
UCGAACGAACUCUGGUAUUGAUUGGUGCUUGCAUCAUGAUUUACAUUUGAGUGAGUGGCGAACUGGUGAGUAACACGUGGGAAACCUGCCCAGAAGCGGGGGAUAACACCUGGAAACAGAUGCUAAUACCGCAUAACAACUUGGACCGCAUGGUCCGAGUUUGAAAGAUGGCUUCGGCUAUCACUUUUGGAUGGUCCCGCGGCGUAUUAGCUAGAUGGUGGGGUAACGGCUCACCAUGGCAAUGAUACGUAGCCGACCUGAGAGGGUAAUCGGCCACAUUGGGACUGAGACACGGCCCAAACUCCUACGGGAGGCAGCAGUAGGGAAUCUUCCACAAUGGACGAAAGUCUGAUGGAGCAACGCCGCGUGAGUGAAGAAGGGUUUCGGCUCGUAAAACUCUGUUGUUAAAGAAGAACAUAUCUGAGAGUAACUGUUCAGGUAUUGACGGUAUUUAACCAGAAAGCCACGGCUAACUACGUGCCAGCAGCCGCGGUAAUACGUAGGUGGCAAGCGUUGUCCGGAUUUAUUGGGCGUAAAGCGAGCGCAGGCGGUUUUUUAAGUCUGAUGUGAAAGCCUUCGGCUCAACCGAAGAAGUGCAUCGGAAACUGGGAAACUUGAGUGCAGAAGAGGACAGUGGAACUCCAUGUGUAGCGGUGAAAUGCGUAGAUAUAUGGAAGAACACCAGUGGCGAAGGCGGCUGUCUGGUCUGUAACUGACGCUGAGGCUCGAAAGUAUGGGUAGCAAACAGGAUUAGAUACCCUGGUAGUCCAUACCGUAAACGAUGAAUGCUAAGUGUUGGAGGGUUUCCGCCCUUCAGUGCUGCAGCUAACGCAUUAAGCAUUCCGCCUGGGGAGUACGGCCGCAAGGCUGAAACUCAAAGGAAUUGACGGGGGCCCGCACAAGCGGUGGAGCAUGUGGUUUAAUUCGAAGCUACGCGAAGAACCUUACCAGGUCUUGACAUACUAUGCAAAUCUAAGAGAUUAGACGUUCCCUUCGGGGACAUGGAUACAGGUGGUGCAUGGUUGUCGUCAGCUCGUGUCGUGAGAUGUUGGGUUAAGUCCCGCAACGAGCGCAACCCUUAUUAUCAGUUGCCAGCAUUAAGUUGGGCACUCUGGUGAGACUGCCGGUGACAAACCGGAGGAAGGUGGGGAUGACGUCAAAUCAUCAUGCCCCUUAUGACCUGGGCUACACACGUGCUACAAUGGAUGGUACAACGAGUUGCGAACUCGCGAGAGUAAGCUAAUCUCUUAAAGCCAUUCUCAGUUCGGAUUGUAGGCUGCAACUCGCCUACAUGAAGUCGGAAUCGCUAGUAAUCGCGGAUCAGCAUGCCGCGGUGAAUACGUUCCCGGGCCUUGUACACACCGCCCGUCACACCAUGAGAGUUUGUAACACCCAAAGUCGGUGGGGUAACCUUUUAGGAACCAGCCGCCUAAGGUGGGACAGAUGA